Long non-coding RNA from Pseudophryne corroboree (corroboree frog), 448 nucleotides. RefSeq lists it as uncharacterized. The transcript has 3 exons. Lineage: Eukaryota; Metazoa; Chordata; Amphibia; Anura; Myobatrachidae. The record is from RefSeq and is a predicted model, not a curated record.
GGAAGCUUGGUCUGUCUCUGACAGAAUACUUAUAGCUGUUUUCUCUUGUCCUCAAAUACUGUGACAGGAGAGACACUAAGCAGUGCUGGCAGUGGUUAUUUAUCAUUUUCACUUAUUCACAAGUCAGGGGUCUUCAACCUUUAAGACAGUGUGGGCCACAUAAAAAAAUGAAACGAAGCCGAGGGCCACUAAGCUAUACUGCGGCCUGCAAGCUCCUCAAGAGGAUAGUCUACCUCAGUCUUUCCACUCUGCUAUCCUUCCACUCCCCCCUCAACCUAGUUUCCACCAACUCCACUGAAGCUACCCUCCGUAACGUCAUAAAUACAUAGCAACAUAGUUGAUGAGGAUGAAAAAAGAAAAAAAAGUCGACAGAGUUCAACCUGUAUUAUAAAAUUUAAUUUAAUUUAGAUCAGGGAUGGUGAACCUUCGGCCCUCCAGCUGUUGUUGA